RNAcentral lists this ribosomal RNA (419 nucleotides) under Fusobacteriota bacterium. RNAcentral's name for it is "Fusobacteria bacterium partial 16S ribosomal RNA". It matches the Rfam family "Bacterial small subunit ribosomal RNA", at positions 355 to 775 of the family's 1533-position model. The record is from RNAcentral. Lineage: Bacteria; Fusobacteriati; Fusobacteriota.
UGGGGGAUAUUGCACAAUGGGCGAAAGCCUGAUGCAGCGACGCCGCGUGGGGGAUGAAGGCCUUCGGGUUGUAAACUUCUUUUGCUCUGAACAAGGCAUGCCUUUGGGGUGUGUUGAGUGUAGGGGUUGAUUAGCGCCGGCUAACUACGUGCCAGCAGCCGCGGUAAUACGUAGGGCGCGAGCGUUGUCCGGAAUUAUUGGGCGUAAAGGGCUUGUAGGUGGCUGGUUGCGUCUGUCGUGAAAGCUCAUGGCUUAACUGUGGGUUUGCGGUGGGUACGGGCUGGCUUGAGUGCAGUAGGGGAGGCUGGAAUUCCUGGUGUAGCGGUGGAAUGCGCAGAUAUCAGGAGGAAUACCGGUGGCGAAGGCGGGUCUCUGGGCUGUUACUGACGCUGAGGAGCGAAAGCGUGGGGAGCGAACAG